This 591-nucleotide long non-coding RNA is filed under the name Astyanax mexicanus (Mexican tetra). RNAcentral describes it as "lncRNA (ENSAMXG00005022932.1)". Lineage: Eukaryota; Metazoa; Chordata; Actinopteri; Characiformes; Acestrorhamphidae. The record is from RNAcentral.
CUUCAGCCUCGUUCAAAAGUUGAUGAAUUGCUCGUGGAUCUUUCAGAAGUAAGGCACAUGACCAUCUGCAGCUGAUGUAAGAGUUUCUCUUUGUGCAAAGUUCAGGCACCCACUGCAGAUUAGUCACUGGCAGAUUAGAGGUAAGGUCCUAACACACAUGCCUCAACCGGCAACUCACUGAGCGCUAUGUGAUGGAAAGAGGGGUGGAACAUCUCACCGCAGCUGGACUGUCACGCCAAGCUCAGAGCAAAUAAGGAAUGCCUCCUACCAAGCAGCAGGAAGCUGGUGGAGAUAUGGAGAGGAUCAAUAAGGAGACCGGGGAGCUGAGCGCCUCUGGGGAGAUUGCAGAGAGCACAGAACUGAAGACAGACAAAGCCCAGACUGAGCCUAGCACACAGGAGGACACACACACUGACGCAAACGCAGUCACGGCUCUCCAGCAGCAGCUCUUACAGCUCAGCCAGGCCGCGGCUGAUCAGAGAGAGCAUGAGCUUGAUCUGCUUCUGCCUCUGUUUAUUCAGGUAACUAGCACUUUCAGUGUGCAAUAAGUGAUUAAAGGUAGGGGUGGACGAUAUGGCUCUAAAAUAAUAU